GCUUGUCGCGUCUGCUGUGAAAACCCGGGGCUUAACCCCGGGCUUGCAGUGGGUACGGGCAGGCUAGAGUGUGGUAGGGGAGACUGGAAUUCCUGGUGUAGCGGUGGAAUGCGCAGAUAUCAGGAGGAACACCGAUGGCGAAGGCAGGUCUCUGGGCCAUUACUGACGCUGAGAAGCGAAAGCGUGGGGAGCGAACAGGAUUAGAUACCCUGGUAGUCCACGCCGUAAACGUUGGGCGCUAGGUGUGGGUCCCAUUCCACGGGGUCCGUGCCGCAGCUAACGCAUUAAGCGCCCCGCCUGGGGAGUACGGCCGCAAGGCUAAAACUCAAAGGAAUUGACGGGGGCCCGCACAAGCGGCGGAGCAUGCGGAUUAAUUCGAUGCAACGCGAAGAACCUUACCAAGGCUUGACAUAUACCGGAAACCUCCAGAGAUGGGGGCCCCGCAAGGUUGGUAUACAGGUGGUGCAUGGUUGUCGUCAGCUCGUGUCGUGAGAUGUUGGGUUAAGUCCCGCAACGAGCGCAACCCUCGUUCUAUGUUGCCAGCACGUGAUGGUGGGGACUCAUAGGAGACUGCCAGGGUCAACUCGGAGGAAGGUGGGGAUGACGUCAAAUCAUCAUGCCCCUUACGUCUUGGGCUUCACGCAUGCUACAAUGGCCGGUACAGAGGGCUGCGAAACCGUGAGGUGGAGCGAAUCCCUUAAAGCUGGUCUCAGUUCGGAUUGGGGUCUGCAACUCGACCCC
RNAcentral lists this ribosomal RNA (741 nucleotides) under uncultured bacterium. RNAcentral describes it as "bacterial SSU rRNA". It matches the Rfam family "Bacterial small subunit ribosomal RNA", at positions 578 to 1319 of the family's 1533-position model. The record is from RNAcentral.